This 204-nucleotide ribosomal RNA is filed under the name Escherichia coli. Its description in RNAcentral is "partial 23S ribosomal RNA". It matches the Rfam family "Bacterial large subunit ribosomal RNA", at positions 2031 to 2234 of the family's 2925-position model. The record is from RNAcentral. Lineage: Bacteria; Pseudomonadati; Pseudomonadota; Gammaproteobacteria; Enterobacterales; Enterobacteriaceae.
ACUCAGUGAAAUUGAACUCGCUGUGAAGAUGCAGUGUACCCGCGGCAAGACGGAAAGACCCCGUGAACCUUUACUAUAGCUUGACACUGAACAUUGAGCCUUGAUGUGUAGGAUAGGUGGGAGGCUUAGAAGUGUGGACGCCAGUCUGCAUGGAGCCGACCUUGAAAUACCACCCUUUAAUGUUUGAUGUUCUAACGUUGACCC